RNAcentral lists this unclassified non-coding RNA (200 nucleotides) under Coniosporium sp. Its description in RNAcentral is "partial internal transcribed spacer 2". Lineage: Eukaryota; Fungi; Ascomycota; Dothideomycetes. The record is from RNAcentral.
UUAAGUUCAGCGGGUAUCCCUACCUGAUCCGAGGUCAACCUGAGAAAGUGGGCCGGGGCCCGGUUUAUCCGGCAGGCGAAGCCCGACUCACAAGCGAAUAAAAUUUACCACGCUUAGAGAAAGGCACCACCGCCGAUAGCUUUAAGGCACGCUGGGGACCGACGAAGCCCAAUACCAAGCAGAGCUUGAGGGUUGUAAUG